Solea senegalensis (Senegalese sole) is the source of this 1353-nucleotide long non-coding RNA. RefSeq lists it as uncharacterized. The transcript is spliced from 2 exons. The record is from RefSeq and is a predicted model, not a curated record. NCBI's taxonomy places the organism in Eukaryota, Metazoa, Chordata, Actinopteri, Pleuronectiformes, Soleidae.
GGCUAAUGGUUGAUUUAAAAAAAUAAAUAAAUUAUAUUUUAUGUUAUUAUGUGAAUAAUUUACUGAUUUUGUGUGGUAACUAGCUUUAAUUCAUUAAAGAUUGACAAUUCUACUAAUUGCAUGCCAUCUUUUUCCGAUUUAUGUUCCACAAAGUUGGACUGUUGGUACAUAUUUAUCUUUUUAUUUCGCUAGUUUUUAUUUUGUAGGAAAAUUGAGAUUAAUAAUUUGCUAAAUGUCAUGUAUACAUGUUAAUUUAUAGAGUAUCAGAAUCAGAAAUACAGUACACAAGUGUAAAGAGUCUAAGUAGUAUAAAAAUACCUUUAAAAUGUUUUGUUUUUGUUUCGUUUUUUUAAUAAAAGCGGAUGAACAUGUGGGAUUGUUUACUGUACCUUCUUGGCCUCUGUUGGUUGCCCUGUGCUGUUUUUAAAUAGCACAAACUGUGGACAACAAACAUUUAUGAUUAUUGCUUUUAAAUGGCCACGAAAUUAGAUUUGAUGAGAUUAGACUUUAUCCCACAUGGAUGAAAUGAAUUUGUUACAGCAGCAAAAUGGCAGAAGCAGAUAAAAGGAAUAAAGUUGGAGUAAAAUAUGAAAGUUGUAGGAUGGAGGACUAUCUUAUCUUAUGUGACAAAUAGUGCCAAAAUAGAGGUGGCAACAGCGUUACAGUAAGUUUUCAUAAACUACUCUUAAUUCUACAUGCAGCUGUAUUCGUGUAUUUCUAACCGAACAUCCUCUCUUUAUUGUGAAAUCACAGUGCCAUCGUGUUCCGCGUGUUGCUCCGCUCCUCUGCGGACACGUUAUUGACGCAGGUCUGCCUGAAGAGCCCGGAGCCUCCACUCCUCCUGCAGCCCCAGCAGAGAGAGCGCCACACAGCCUCGGCGGCGUCAGCUUGGCUGGAACCGCAGCGCCUGCAUAUGAGAUCCCUCCGCCGACGCCGCCGCUCCCCCCCCUCUCCUCAUCCCCGGAACUUUCCCAGGAUUUUAAGGAUUUCGCGGUGAGGUUUGAUGGUCCUAUCACAGGCUGUCUCCAGGAUACCAGGACCUGUCUGAUUGGCUAGUCGCUCUUCUGUGAUGAUUCCAGUUUCCAGGCUCCGGUGAGGUAGCGCAGGCGAAUGAAAAUCAGAUCUCGGCCCAUCUGCAGCCAGCUCCAAAAUGGGACUAGCUUGGAUCCUGGCAGAGCAGAUGAAUAUGCACUUAAUCCUCAAAUUAUAAUUUUAAGAGACAGACAAUGGAAAUAUACCGUUUUACCUAUUAAAAGUGGACAAACCCUGCAAUAAUGUUAUCAGUCAAAUAUAUAGAAAAUACAUCAUGUCAGGAAAAAAAGAUAUGACAAUAAAACCCACAAAGAUAAGCAA